RNAcentral lists this non-coding RNA (163 nucleotides) under bovine gut metagenome. RNAcentral's name for it is "Lysine riboswitch". It matches the Rfam family "Lysine riboswitch aptamer". From Rfam's summary of the family: Riboswitches are metabolite binding domains within certain messenger RNAs that serve as precision sensors for their corresponding targets. Allosteric rearrangement of mRNA structure is mediated by ligand binding, and this results in modulation of gene expression. This family includes riboswitches that sense lysine in a number of genes involved in lysine metabolism, including lysC. The record is from RNAcentral.
UGAUAGAGGCGCGGCCAUCAUCAGUAGCUCCACCGCAGGCGACGGGAAUCGCCGGGGCGAAAGGGAUCGCUGCCGAAGGGUCUGUCGGGUUCCUGGCCGGCGGACGCCUGGGCCGUCGGAGAACAUCCGCCGGACUGUCGUAGGUAUCUACGGAGCGCUGUCA